RNAcentral lists this long non-coding RNA (311 nucleotides) under Theobroma cacao (cacao). RNAcentral's name for it is "long non-coding RNA (TCAC_LNC005442)". The record is from RNAcentral. Lineage: Eukaryota; Viridiplantae; Streptophyta; Magnoliopsida; Malvales; Malvaceae.
UAUAUCUGUCUCCAUUUACUCAAUUUUAGAUAUUUUAGAUGGUAUUUGUUUACUCACUGGGAUUAUAUAAUCUCACCACCCUCAUUUCCACCCAUUUCAGGCUCAAGAUAGUCGGUAAAUAGCUCAUUUCGUUGAGGGCUACAAUUGGACUUGCAUCCUCAAAAACUGUAGGUUUACCGCUUUUGAUACUUUUGGUCGUUCGUGGGUCAAUAUGUCACUGUAAAUUAAAUUUUAUGCUUUGGUUAUCUGUAUUACAGCAUGUAUGAAUUUAUUUAGCUUUUACGCUACAAAAAUUAUUUACCGGUAACUCU